AAGCGUUCUCAGGGCGGGGCGAAAUUCCCCACCGGCGGUGAUGGCGACACGUUCGCACGAGCCCGCGAGCGCCUGCGGCCCGUCAUGGGCCGCAGGGUCAGCAGACCUGGUGAGAUCCCGGGGCCGACGGUCACAGUCCGGAUGAAAGAGAGCGCGG
Molecule: non-coding RNA, 157 nt
Filed under: Variovorax sp. SRS16
Lineage: Bacteria; Pseudomonadati; Pseudomonadota; Betaproteobacteria; Burkholderiales; Comamonadaceae
Description: FMN
Rfam family: FMN riboswitch aptamer (RFN element)
About the family: The RFN element is a highly conserved domain that is found frequently in the 5'-untranslated regions of prokaryotic mRNAs that encode for flavin mononucleotide (FMN) biosynthesis and transport proteins. This element is a metabolite-dependent riboswitch that directly binds FMN in the absence of proteins. In Bacillus subtilis, the riboswitch most likely controls gene expression by causing premature transcription termination within the 5' untranslated region of the ribDEAHT operon and precluding access to the ribosome-binding site of ypaA mRNA.
Source: RNAcentral